RNAcentral lists this ribosomal RNA (253 nucleotides) under uncultured bacterium. RNAcentral's name for it is "partial 16S ribosomal RNA". It matches the Rfam family "Bacterial small subunit ribosomal RNA", at positions 524 to 776 of the family's 1533-position model. The record is from RNAcentral.
GACGAACCGAGCGAACGUUGUUCGGAAUCACUGGGCUUAAAGGGCGCGUAGGCGGAUUCUCAAGUCCGGGGUGAAAUCCCACAGCUCAACUGUGGAACUGCCUCGGAUACUGGGGGUCUCGAGGGUGGCAGGGGUAUGCGGAACUAUCGGUGGAGCGGUGAAAUGCGUUGAUAUCGAUAGGAACUCCGGUGGCGAAGGCGGCAUACUGGUCCACUUCUGACGCUGAGGCGCGAAAGCCAGGGGAGCAAACGGG